This 475-nucleotide long non-coding RNA is filed under the name Dromaius novaehollandiae (emu). Its description in RNAcentral is "lncRNA (ENSDNVG00000017960.1)". The record is from RNAcentral. Lineage: Eukaryota; Metazoa; Chordata; Aves; Casuariiformes; Dromaiidae.
AAAAUAUCACUCGGCUUGGGUUUAAAAUGUAAUGCUUUUUUUAUCUUUCAGCCCAAGAACUUGCCAGUCAAGAUGAAAAACUUCCUCUAAUGGAAUCCAGCUUGAAAGCAGCUCAAGAGCAGCUAAGUGAGCAAAUAGCAGAAACAGUUCGCCAAGAACAGAACAGUAGAAAAUCACAGACACAGCUGAAGACCCUGAGAGAACGUAUUAUAGCUUCUGAAGAAGAAAUUAGUGAUUACAAGUUGAGUUUUAUGAGAAAAGAUUACCAAAUCUGCAAAAGGUGCGGAGCCAGUCUAAAGACAGUAUACAUAGAACACCAAGAAUCUUGAAUCUUCAGAAAGGAAUACUCAGGAUUUAAAAGAGGACAAUAGUUUACUGGAUAGUAAUCACAAAGGACAUGUUGACAAGGUAAUAAUUUUUUUUCAUCACAUAGUGUGUGUGAUCUUUUCCGUAGUAACUGUUGCACAUACUUAUA